Molecule: ribosomal RNA, 276 nt
Filed under: uncultured Rhizophagus
Lineage: Eukaryota; Fungi; Glomeromycota; Glomeromycetes; Glomerales; Glomeraceae
Description: partial 28S ribosomal RNA
Source: RNAcentral
CUUAACCGCCUUCAUGUUUUGCAUAUUCGUGCACAUUUGGUGUACUUGUCCGUGUGGUGGGUUAACAUCAAUUUCGGUCGUCAUAAAAUGAUUGGAGGAAUGUAGCUUUGAUCUCGUAUCGAAGUGUUUAGACUCUGGUAGAUGUGACGAUUGGGAUUGAGGAUUGCAACGGAUACCCUUCGGGGGCUACCCGUCUGAUCUCUGAAGGUUGCUCCGGUGCCGAAAGCGUGCUUACGGUCAUCGAAAGUGAUUUUCAAAAGGUUAGAUCGGGUUAAA